CCAGGUCCCCUCACCAGGUGACUUCACCUGCCUGUGUAGCCCUGUCCAUGGUGCUGAUCCUUACAGCAUUACUUAGCCUGAUGUAGUAGUCAGUGUACAGUAAAUUAUGUCGAGCUAUUAUCUUGAUUAUGGAAAACAUCACAUUCUGCAGUGAGGAGGCAGACAAUAAUAUUACGCUGUUUUGCUUAAGGUGAGGGCUUUUCUUUGAUGUUGAUAUAAAUAGGUGCCAAAACCUACAAUGUUAACAAAGCAGUAAACUGGACAAAAAGAAGAGCAACAUAAACUGGUUUGAAAGUCAGCAGUAGUCUAACCCAGCAUUUCUUAAAGUAUGGGUCGCGACCCAAAGUGCGUCGCGGACCUGGUAAUAGUGGGUAUCGACGUGUCAGAGUAAAUGUAUAAAUAUUUAACUAAUUACUGGAAUUGAUUUGGUCAAGUGCAACUGCUCACUGUUUAGCAGCGGUGUCUCAGCUGUUUGGCAGCUGCUCGAAUGGGAGGAAGAUGUGUACUUCGUCGUUUUCGUGAAGAUCACUCAGCGACCCACACGCUGCAGCUCUGUUGUUCAGCAGCAGAUGAUGUGCUGUCAGCCACUGACUUGUCAUUCCCACUCGCCAUCACUUACCAUUGUCAUCAAAUGUACUCAAACUAGCCACAAGUUCUGACUGAGCUCAAUCGUCAUGAAACGCAAAUACAGCGAUGAGUUUCUCACUCUUGGUUUUGUACAAACUUUGAGAAAUAACGAGGAUCGCCCGCAAUGUGUUUUGUGCAGGGAAGUGCUUAGUAUUGAUUCUCUCAAAACGAACAAAUGAAAACGACACGUCCUGACCAAACAUCCACAGUAUGACGGUAAACCCAGGGAGUUCUUUCAGAACAGGGAAGAAUGCUUCAGGAAACAGUGCUUCGACAGCGGAAGAGUCCAUCCAGCCUGCAGUCAGAACCGGGUCCAAGCUCCACUGCCAGAGUCAGAUCCACAAGGACUGGUGACCUCCAGCCUGCAGUCAGAACCGGGUCCAGCCUCCACCACCACAGCCAGCCCACAGGGACUAGUGUCCUUUCCUCUGUAAUUAAUCUAUCUGCUGAGCCUCAUCUCUCUCUCUCUCUCUCUCUUAACCUACUCACAUAUCUGUAGAAAUAACAAACCCUGCACGGUCUCUCCUUAAACAUCUCCCCAUAAUUGCCAGUGAUAUUCGUGUUCACUCCAUUAAGUUGACCACACCGAGUGGGACGCCAGAGAGGGAAGAUGGAUCAGCUGCUAGCGUUGAGAAAAGACAGGGGCCUUGUCUUCAAAGAGGCAGGCAGAGCUUGGAGGAUAAAGUCCCCUCGGGCCUCGCCGACUAACAAUGUCAGGCUCUUGUGUUGGAUGACAGCAGUUUUCCACCUCAAAUUCAUUCAACCAAAUGACCUCAAUAGUCUCAAAACGUGGCGUUCCGAGGAGAAACUCAGACAUCAUAUCUGGGUGUUUGAUAGCGGCCAGUCUGGCAGUCGGUCGGGGGAGAGAGGAGAGGAUGUGGGGUUUAGAUUAGAGCGAGGCGAAGAUGAAGACAGGCUUUUAUAACCAGUCUGGAUGUGAGCCGGGGCCAGAGCUCCUGAAGUAAGCUGUUAAAGAAGCCUUUUAAAAGCACAGGGCUUUGAUGCUGGGAGAGGCUAAUCAUUUUGGUUGGCUAUGUAUCGCUUUAGCAGAACUCUAAAGAAGUCCCAGACAGACUGCCCAAGAAAAAGACCCUCAGAUCUGGCAUGGCUCAGAGUACCUACUGCAUUGGACACAAAGAGACACCUCAACCUAGUCAGUCACCAAUCAGUCAUAUGGCAUAGUACCUGUAUGGUUAGUAGAUCUUGGUAGACUAGAAUCUACUCUAUGGUUAGUAGAUCUUGGUAGAAUAUAAUCUACACUAUACCUGUAUGGUUUGUAGAUCUUGGUAGACUAGAAUCUACUCUAUGCCUGUAUGGUUUGUAGAUCUUGGUAGACUAGAAUCUACUCUAUGCCUGUAUGGUUAGUAGAUCUUAGUAGACUAGAAUCUACUCUAUGCCUGUAUGGUUAGUAGAUCUUGGUAGACUAGAAUCUACUCUAAACCUGUAUGGUUUGUAAAUCUUGGUAGACUAGAAUCUACUCUAUGGUUUAUAGAUCUUGGUAGAAUAGACUCUACCAUAUCUGCAUGGUUUGUAGAUCUUGGUAGAAUAGACUCUACCAUAUCUGUGUAGAGCAGUAGGAAGAUGUCUAGUCUCUAUCGACAGCAGCCUGUGCUUAUAAUGGCUCACUGGGAUCUCAGACAGCUCUACCAUACAUCAACACCUUAUUGGCCACCGAACCCCAACAAACCUCUAGCAUGUUUUCACAGCUUGGAAGCCAGAGGUGAGGGGAGGUCUGGGAAGAGCUGGGAUCCCCACGGUAUGCUUUCCCCCUUUUACUUUGGAACACACACACACACACACACACUCACGCACGCACACACACACUCACACACACACACUUGUGGAAUUCACACAAACACAUUUUUGGAAUUCACUCACACACAAAUUAUUUAUGAAAUUAUUUUAUAAAGCCUUUUUUUACAUCAGCAGAUGUCACAAAGUGCUAUACAGAAACCCAGCCUUAAACCCCAAACAGCAAUGCAGAUGUUGAAGCACAUGCAUGUACACACACUUUGGAAUUCACACACAUACCGACUGUCAUGCAUGCUGUCACGCACACACACAUUUUGAAUUUCACACAUGCACACACACACACACACACACACACACACUGAAAGGCUUUCCCCUAGGGGUGUUUGAAGCUGCCUCUCCAGCCCAUGUUUAUUAUUCCUGAGUGAUUCUCUCCACAGAGACAAUAGAUUUGAAGGGGCACAUGACCCUCUUCCUCGAAAUCUUUGUUUAUAUGUUUUCCCCAACAAAGUAAACAUGCCUUGAGAAAACAAGGCAGAUCGGGUUAGGGCUACACGUUACAUCAUGGACACACAGCGAGGCAGUAUAGUCACUAUUUGUGCCUUCUGACAAUUGUGAGGAGUUAACAAUGAACCAUUCUUGCACCUGCUCUAAACUUGCUUGGUAACAUUGGAAACAUUCAUAUUUUCGACCAUAGCAUGUGAUGAAUGGGAAUGUGAAUGUGGUGAGUUUCCAACAUGAUCAAAAGUAGUGCACUACAUAGGGAAUAGGGUGCCAUUUGGGAAACAUUCUAAGAGAACAAGGGCCUCUCGACCACUGAACCAUCCUGCUCAGCCUUCUGCUACCCAUGAAGCACUCUGCCUGCCACCAGGCAGACCCCACACACCUUGCCAUCCUCCCAUCCUCUGGCUCCUGCAGGAGGCCAAGGCACUGACCCACGGAGGGAAACAGACUCACUACAGAUAACUAUUUUAGACCACAACAGGAGCUACUGAUGUUUUACUGUGCGAUGACUGAAAACCUUAUUUGAGUGAAGUAGCUAGAUGUUUCUGUAGCAGUCACUUCAGGGCAGGAAAUCAUUACAUCAAUAUUGGUUAUGAUGUCAUGUAAUAGCAGGCUGUAGCCAUAGCAACAUAACCUAUAGCUAUCGUACCAUAAAGCCUUACAUUUAAGAACUACAUAUUUCAUUUGUUGUCUAGUACUGUGAGGUGAGGACUCAGAGUAUCUCAAUGUGAGCUCUGUGAGAGGAGAGAAGGUCACACAGAGUGUCUGCAGCUGCAGUCCAGGAUGAAUGGUGGACAGGGGGAUAAAGAUGGGUAGGGGGAUGCAUGGGGGGGGCAGGGGGUGCUCUUGGCCAAAAACAAGAGAGGGACCGAGGCCGACCCACCACUCAGAGACAUGAUGGUGUCCCACCUAACCUGUAGUUCUGCUCCUACAAGAAGAGAGAGACAGACACACAGACACACAGACAGACAGACAGACAGACAGACAGACAGACAGACAUGGACAGACAUGGACAGACAGACUAUUUGCACACAGUGAACUAUUUAGACAUAAUAUGACAUUUGAAAUGUUACUUUUGUGAGUGUAAUGUUUAAUGUUAAUUUGUAUUGUUUAUUUCACUUUUGUUAUCUACCUCACAUGCUAUGGCAAUGUUAACAUAUGUUUCCCAUGCCAAUAAAGCCCUUCCAUUGAAUUGAAUUGACAGACAGUCAGCAGAUAGACACACACAAAGAGAGAGAGAAUUCCUCCCUGGUUUCUCAGGUCAACGUGAUAAGUAUUGUGAAUUAUGUGGAGUUAAGUGAGAGGAGUCAUCCUCCUGUAUAUCUGAGGAGGGUGAGGUGGC
RNAcentral lists this long non-coding RNA (4222 nucleotides) under Salmo salar (Atlantic salmon). RNAcentral describes it as "lncRNA (ENSSSAG00000086949.1)". Lineage: Eukaryota; Metazoa; Chordata; Actinopteri; Salmoniformes; Salmonidae. The record is from RNAcentral.